AUACGUAGGGGGCGAGCGUUGUCCGGAAUUACUGGGCGUAAAGGGUGCGUAGGCGGCCUAUCAAGUCAAUUGUGUAAUCCCUGGGCUUAACCCAGGAACUGCAGUUGAAACUGAUAGGCUUGAGUGCAGGAGAGGAAAGUGGAAUUCCUAGUGUAGCGGUGAAAUGCGUAGAUAUUAGGAGGAACACCAGUGGCGAAGGCGACUUUCUGGACUGUAACUGACGUUGAGGCACGAAAGCGUGGGGAGCAAACAGGAUUAGAUACCCUGGUAGUCCACGCUGUAAACGAUGAAUACUAGGUGUAGGGGGUAUCGACCCCUCCUGUGCCGCAGUUAACACAUUAAGUAUUCCGCCUGGGGAGUACGGCCGCAAGGCUGAA
Molecule: ribosomal RNA, 377 nt
Filed under: uncultured bacterium
Lineage: Bacteria
Description: bacterial SSU rRNA
Rfam family: Bacterial small subunit ribosomal RNA
Source: RNAcentral